Non-coding RNA from Podarcis lilfordi (Lilford's wall lizard), 77 nucleotides. NCBI's taxonomy places the organism in Eukaryota, Metazoa, Chordata, Lepidosauria, Squamata, Lacertidae. The record is from the annotation of a GenBank genome assembly.
GCCUAUUCUCCAGCUCAGCUGGCUAGAGCGUGGUGCUGAUAACACCAAGGUUGCAGGUUCAAUCCCAAUGUGGGACA